UCCUGCUUCCCUCUGAACCCAAAAUGUGAUCUUGUCAGAUCUCACAAGCUAAGCACAAUUGGACCCAGUCAGUAUUUAAAUGGGAGAUCCCCAAGUAAAAUACAGUGUAUUGCCAGAA
RNAcentral lists this ribosomal RNA (118 nucleotides) under Chelonoidis abingdonii (Abingdon island giant tortoise). Lineage: Eukaryota; Metazoa; Chordata; Testudines; Testudinidae. The record is from RNAcentral.